Non-coding RNA from Pelobates cultripes (western spadefoot toad), 603 nucleotides. The record is from the annotation of a GenBank genome assembly. NCBI's taxonomy places the organism in Eukaryota, Metazoa, Chordata, Amphibia, Anura, Pelobatidae.
CACACACACACACACACACGUGUAUGUACACAUCUGACAAUAAAAUUAAACAUGCAGCCUUGACUUAACUUUGGUCAGAUGAAAUGUACAAACCCUCCUUAAAAAUGACUUGCAAAAAUGGUGUUAAAUUAAAAUAUUUAUUUUCAUUGGAGUGACCUUUUAAGCAAGAUACACUUACUGUGUUCUAAAGCAUUCUUGUAGUUUGCUAAUAUAUGUGUGGAUAUAUAGUGCUCAGGGCUGGCAUUAGUAUAAGGACUAAUGACCCAUGCCCAUUAAAUAGGACAUUGAUCCUAAAAAUUAACUUACUGAUAGCAAGCUAAGCACAAAUCCUCUUGCUGCUUCUAACCGUCAAACAUCCUCCAGUCACCAUGUGGCAUAUGUACUUUCUACUACAUCCAUCUUCUCUGCCUCAGUCUGUAUACCAGGAAGGAAGUGGAAAAGUAAAUCCUGAUAAGAGAAGGUUCACGGUUUGUGAUUAGUGAGAGAGAGCUGUUGGGUCUUGUUUAAUGGACAGACAGACUGAACUGAUUUGUAGGAGAGAAAGAUUGACAUAGGGUAUUUAUAGACUUAAAAUGUAUCCUGCAAGUGUUCCUCUAGUACCAG